Molecule: ribosomal RNA, 253 nt
Filed under: uncultured microorganism
Description: partial small subunit ribosomal RNA
Rfam family: Bacterial small subunit ribosomal RNA
Source: RNAcentral
UACGUAGGUGGCAAGCGUUGUCCGGAUUUACUGGGUGUAAAGGGCGUGUAGCCGGGUCGGCAAGUCAGAUGUGAAAUCUGGGGGCUCAACCUCCAAACUGCAUUUGAAACUGUUGAUCUUGAGUAUCGGAGAGGUAAUCGGAAUUCCUAGUGUAGCGGUGAAAUGCGUAGAUAUUAGGAAGAACACCAGUGGCGAAGGCGGAUUACUGGACGACAACUGACGGUGAGGCGCGAAAGCGUGGGGAGCAAACAGG